AAGCAUAAAAACUCAGAGUAUCUCUGCUUUUUGUUCUGGGUAGCUUGGCUUUCGAAGUGGGCCUUUCUGUGUGUGACUAAGGAUGGAGAUGGUUGGCUUUCUGUGUAUAGCACAUCCGGGGGGGAUUUUUGUAACCAUGUCCUCUAGAAAACCCUGAGAUCACCUUUCAGAAGUGUUAGGAACUAAAGAAGCGCUACAAUCACUUCAAGCCAGAGGAUGGCUAAAAGGGAGAACUGGCCUGGGCUUGGCAAAACUCCACUUGGUGUGGAGUCAUUUAACUCUAACAUUCACAGACUUUGAAGAAUGAAAAAAAAAAAAAAAGGACGAUCCUUCCCUCUCAUAUUUCCUGUGGGCAUGCAUAACUAAAUGAUGCCCACCGGUAUUGUGUGUUUGGCUUCCAGAGAUGCUGUAUUCCCUAACACAAUCCUGUGAGAACCAGCCAGUUUUCACAGAACAAAUUACUUCUCUUUCAGGAAACCGAAACCCAGAUGACAAACAACUCAGACCGCAGAGGGGUACUGCUUUCUUUCUGCUGCCACAGGACAGCGUCUGAAAUAAUGUAUGGGCAGAGAAGGUGAUGAAGCCCAGCUUUCCAGCACAGAGGGAGCUGAGAUCUCCAACAGAAAUCAGUCAUCUUUGCCCUCUGUUGACUCCUCAUAUUCUACUUGUCUUAUGAUCUCUAAUAUUGCUUUGGAGUUGGUAAAAAUCCAGGAAGGCUGGGCUCUGAGGCUGGAAUUUGAAGCAUAGGGCCAGCUGCAAGUUGACGUUCUCCACCUGAACCACCACAACGGCAGAUUCUGCAUCAUCUAUCUGGGGUCCUGCAGGUGAGGACAGAGAGAAGCAGCGACGGUGUGUGAAGCAUGAGCCUGUCUACUGUGAGAACCCAGAUGACACCUCUGUGAACCACGGGGAAUUCUCUUCAUGGUCACCCACUACACUCAGGCUUGACUUUUGAGACCCCUAGUAGCUCAGGGUAGCCUGAGGCUCACCGUGUAUUUCAGGGUGGCCUUGUAUUCUGCUGGGAUUACAUAUGUGUACCACCACAUCCGGUUGAUUAGAAAUGGUUCUCCUUAUUAUACGGUUCCGUGUUGGUUUAAUUCUUUUUUUAAAAUUUUCAAGCAAAAAGCACAAACAUCUCUUACAGGGAAGGGGUGGUUUCUGACUCUAAUUGUGUCCCUAGGGGUGGGAUUGAAAUGGAAUGAGAAGAGGCAGCAGCACAAAACAUUCUAAUAUAUUUGUGGGGACAAUCUCUAAAGUGAGCUGAUUGGUUGAACUAAGGAUAUGAGGGGGCAGUUGGGAAAAGCCAGAAAGAGCUGGGAGGGUCUAAGGAAAGAGAGAAGCUUGUUGAGGGGAGCUAUGGAAUGUGAGUACCACCUCGAGCCUAGAAAUGGGCUCUUCCUGUGCUACUUGCUCCCAGUGCUGAGCCCAUCAUAGAUUUAUGUUUAGAAACAAGUGCUAAAUAAAUUUUAAUGAAUAAAUGAAUACUUCAAAAUUG
Long non-coding RNA from Grammomys surdaster, 1495 nucleotides. RefSeq lists it as uncharacterized. The record is from RefSeq and is a predicted model, not a curated record. The transcript has 4 exons. NCBI's taxonomy places the organism in Eukaryota, Metazoa, Chordata, Mammalia, Rodentia, Muridae.